RNAcentral lists this ribosomal RNA (469 nucleotides) under Latilactobacillus curvatus. RNAcentral's name for it is "bacterial SSU rRNA". It matches the Rfam family "Bacterial small subunit ribosomal RNA", at positions 92 to 547 of the family's 1533-position model. The record is from RNAcentral. Lineage: Bacteria; Bacillati; Bacillota; Bacilli; Lactobacillales; Lactobacillaceae.
UGAGUGGCGGACGGGUGAGUAACACGUGGGUAACCUGCCCUAAAGUGGGGGAUAACAUUUGGAAACAGAUGCUAAUACCGCAUAAAACCUAGCACCGCAUGGUGCAAGGUUGAAAGAUGGUUUCGGCUAUCACUUUAGGAUGGACCCGCGGUGCAUUAGUUAGUUGGUGAGGUAAAGGCUCACCAAGACCGUGAUGCAUAGCCGACCUGAGAGGGUAAUCGGCCACACUGGGACUGAGACACGGCCCAGACUCCUACGGGAGGCAGCAGUAGGGAAUCUUCCACAAUGGACGAAAGUCUGAUGGAGCAACGCCGCGUGAGUGAAGAAGGUUUUCGGAUCGUAAAACUCUGUUGUUGGAGAAGAACGUAUUUGAUAGUAACUGAUCAGGUAGUGACGGUAUCCAACCAGAAAGCCACGGCUAACUACGUGCCAGCAGCCGCGGUAAUACGUAGGUGGCAAGCGUUGUCCG